UCGGGAAUUUUGGGCAAUGGGCGAAAGCCUGACCCAGCAACGCCGCGUGAGGGAUGAAGUAUUUCGGUAUGUAAACCUCGAAAGAAUGGGAAGAAUAAAUGACGGUACCAUUUAUAAGCUCCGGCUAACUACGUGCCAGCAGCCGCGGUAAUACGUAGGGAGCAAGCGUUGUUCGGAUUUACUGGGCGUAAAGGGCGCGUAGGCGGCGCGGUAAGUCACUUGUGAAAUCUCUGAGCUUAACUCAGAACGGCCAAGUGAUACUGCUGUGCUAUAGUGCGGAAGAGGCAACCGGAAUUCUUGGUGUAGCGGUGAAAUGCGUAGAUAUCAAGAGGCACACCUGAGGCGAAGGCGGGUUGCUGGGCCGACACUGACGCUGAUGCGCGAAAGCCAGGGGAGCAAACG
Molecule: ribosomal RNA, 402 nt
Filed under: uncultured bacterium
Lineage: Bacteria
Description: bacterial SSU rRNA
Rfam family: Bacterial small subunit ribosomal RNA
Source: RNAcentral